CUACCCGGGUAUCUAAUCCUGUUUGAUCCCCACGCUUUCGUGCCUCAGCGUCAAUAGUCGUCCAGAUAGCCGCUUACGCCACUGGUGUUCCUUCCAAUAUCUACGCAUUUCACUGCUACACUGGAAAUUCCGCUAUCCUCUCCGACAUUCUAGCCUUGUAGUUUUAAGAGCAAUUCCAAGGUUGAGCCUUGGGCUUUCACUCCUAACUUACAAAACCGCCUACGCACGCUUUACGCCCAGUGAUUCCGAAUAACGCUCGCCCCCUUCGUAUUACCGCGGCUGCUGGCAC
RNAcentral lists this ribosomal RNA (289 nucleotides) under uncultured bacterium. RNAcentral's name for it is "partial 16S ribosomal RNA". The record is from RNAcentral.